GUGCCCGUAGCUUAAUUCGCAGAGCAGUGGGACGGUACCCCACGGUCCCGGGUUCAAGUCCCGGCGGUCGCU
This is a non-coding RNA of Phthorimaea operculella (potato tuberworm), 72 nucleotides long. The record is from the annotation of a GenBank genome assembly. Lineage: Eukaryota; Metazoa; Arthropoda; Insecta; Lepidoptera; Gelechiidae.